This 18-nucleotide unclassified non-coding RNA is filed under the name synthetic construct. The record is from RNAcentral.
GCGCUCCUCAGUACGAGA